RNAcentral lists this ribosomal RNA (253 nucleotides) under uncultured bacterium. Its description in RNAcentral is "partial 16S ribosomal RNA". It matches the Rfam family "Archaeal small subunit ribosomal RNA", at positions 474 to 727 of the family's 1478-position model. The record is from RNAcentral.
UACCAGCACCCCGAGUGGUCGGGACGAUUAUUGGGCCUAAAGCAUCCGUAGCCGGUCAUGCAAGUCUUCCGUUAAAUCCAGCCGCUCAACGGUUGGGCUGCGGAGGAUACUACGUGGCUAGGAGGCGGGAGAGGCAAGCGAUACUCAGUGGGUAGGGGUAAAAUCCUUUGAUCCAUUGAAGACCACCAGUGGCGAAGGCGGCUUGCCAGAACGCGCUCGACGGUGAGGGAUGAAAGCUGGGGGAGCAAACCGG